UGUCAUGUGAGGAGUAGCAGGAAUAUUGAAAACAGAGCAUAAAAUGACCUUCAGACUAAGUGUACAAGAAGCGAGAAGAUAUAGUGUCAAAACCUUCAUCUUUGCAUUUGGGACAGACUUGAUUUCAAAGCUUAGCCCUCCCUCUUACAGCUAUGUGAUACCAAGAAAAUCACCUUGUCUAUCUGUGCUUCAAAUAGGGGCUUGUGUGAACAUCUGUCUCAUACAGCAGAGAAAGAUAAACUAAUAUGCAUACAGAGCUUGUUGUAAACUAACUCCCAAGUAGCAGACACACAACAAAUAUUGGUUCCUUUGUUCUUCACCACAUACCAACUUUCUCUUCUUAAG
This 345-nucleotide long non-coding RNA is filed under the name Chinchilla lanigera (long-tailed chinchilla). RNAcentral describes it as "lncRNA (ENSCLAG00000029147.1)". Lineage: Eukaryota; Metazoa; Chordata; Mammalia; Rodentia; Chinchillidae. The record is from RNAcentral.